Molecule: ribosomal RNA, 253 nt
Filed under: uncultured bacterium
Lineage: Bacteria
Description: partial 16S ribosomal RNA
Rfam family: Bacterial small subunit ribosomal RNA
Source: RNAcentral
UACGGGGGGGGCAAGCGUUGUCCGGAUUUAUUGGGCGUAAAGAGCGUGUAGGCGGCUAGGUAGGUCCGUUGUGAAAACUCGAGGCUCAACCUCGAGACGUCGAUGGAAACCAUCUAGCUAGAGUCCGGAAGAGGAGAGUGGAAUUCCUGGUGUAGCGGUGAAAUGCGCAGAUAUCAGGAAGAACACCCGUGGCGAAGGCGGCUCUCUGGUACGUGACUGACGCUGAGACGCGAAAGCGUGGGGAGCGAACAGG